UAAACUAGGAUUAGAUACCCUAUUAUUAUUAGAGGUAAAGUGUAAGUUCAGAUUAGUAUUAGUUAUAUUCUUGAAAAUUAAAAAUUUUGGCGGUGUUUUAGUCUAUUCAGAGGAACCUAUCCUAUAAUUGAUACUCCACGAUUUAUUUUACUUAUUUUAGAAGCUUGUAUAUCAUCGUUAAUGGGAAAUUUUAUUAGAAUUAAUUUUCUUAAUAUAAUAUUAUAUAAUAGUUCAGAUCAAGGUGCAGUUUAUGGGUGAGUAGAGAUGGGUUACAAUGUAUUUAUUUAUUAGAUAGUUAAUUGAAAAUUUACUUGAAAUUGGAUUUGAUAGUAAUUUAAUUAAAAUUACUUAAAUGAUUUUAGCUCUAGAACAUGUACAUAUCGCCCGUCGCUUUCAUUUUAGUUGAAAUAAGUCGUAACAAAGUAGGUGUACUGGAAAGUGCAUCUAGAAAGAUCAAAUUAUAGUUUAUUAGAAUAUUUUAUUUACAUUAAAAUGGUAUUUGUUAAUUCAAUUUAAUGAUAUAUAUUAAUUUAUUAAUAUUGUUUAUUUUUGGUUUUAUUGAAAUAUCAAUGAUUUUAUUAAUUGUAUUGAAUAAAUUGUUUUAAUUAUAGUUAAAUAGUACUGUAAAGGUUGAUGUUAAAAUUGAAUAAAGAAGAAAUUGUAUUUUGUACCUUGUGUAUCAGGGUUUACUAAUAAUUAAUUUUAUAUUAAAUUUUUCUCGAAACUUAAAGAGCUAAGGAUAUAUUUAUUUUUUUGUUUUAAAAAGAAUUAUAAUUUAUUUUUGGUAAUGAAAUGUUAUUCGUUUUGGGUUAUAUCUAGUUUCUGAAUAAAUUAAUUUAAUUAAGUUUAAUAUAAUAUUUUUUUGGUUUUUGCUGGAUUAAUAUUGUUUUAAAUUUAAAUUUAAGGGGACUAGCUUUUAAAUUAAUGUAUCUAAUAAUUUUAAUUGAUUAAAUAAUUGUAGGAUUAGAAGUUUCUAUCAUAUAUUGUUUUAUAACUGUUCUUUUUAUUUAUUUAUUUAUAUAUUAUUGAUAUUUUCUAUUUGGAUUAUCAAUUUAAUCUUGAAUUUGAAGUAAUAAUGGUGAAAUUAGUAUAUUUAUUUUUAUGUUAUAAAUUAAUUUUAAGGUUAAUUAAAGGAAUUCGGCAAAUUUAAUUCUCGCCUGUUUAAUAAAAACAUGUCUUUUUGAUUAUUAUUUAAAGUCUAGUCUGCCCACUGAUUAAUUGAAUGGCUGCGGUAUUUUGACCGUACGAAGGUAGCAUAAUCAUUAGUUUCUUAAUUAGGAACUAGUAUGAAAGGCUGAACGAGGAAUUAUCUGUCUCUAGUUAAUUUAAUUAGAAAUUUAUUUUUAAGUUAAAAAGCUUAAAUUUUUUUAAAAGACGAGAAGACCCUAUAGAGUUUAAUUUAUGUUUUUGAGAUUAAAUUAAGUAUUCUUUUUUUUCUUGGUAAUUAUAAAUUUUAUUGGGGUGAUAGGAAAAUUAAAGUAACUUUUCUUUUUUAAUUACAUUGAUUUAUGAUUAAUUGAUCCAUUAAUAAUGAUUACAAGAUUAAAUUACCUUAGGGAUAACAGCGUUAUUUUUCUUGGGAGUUCAUAUCUAUAGAAAAGUUUGCGACCUCGAUGUUGGAUUAAAAUUGAGCUUGGCGUAGAAGUUAAGUUUUCUUGGUCUGUUCGACCAUAAAAAUUUUACAUGAUCUGAGUUCAAACCGGAGAU
Molecule: ribosomal RNA, 1707 nt
Filed under: Teretriosoma sp. NLG-2014
Lineage: Eukaryota; Metazoa; Arthropoda; Insecta; Coleoptera; Histeridae
Description: partial 16S ribosomal RNA
Source: RNAcentral